GACCUUUAUAAUAUGAGUCAAAUACUGCCCUAUCUAUGGAGCAGAUAAUAGAUUAGCGUGAGGUUUCUGGCAAUAGUGGUCAUUCUGCAGAUAUGUGUGCUAUCUAUCCCAAUUCAGUAUUGUUUGUGGGAUAUGCUCAUAGGCAAUGUUAUGUGAACACCUACAAUCAAGAGUGGCAGACACAACCCCAAAUUCAACCAUAGAGCAACCGGCAACAAUUUCAGCAACAAUAACAAAAUACAUAGGCCA
RNAcentral lists this long non-coding RNA (249 nucleotides) under Capsicum annuum. Its description in RNAcentral is "long non-coding RNA (CANN_LNC011557)". The record is from RNAcentral. Lineage: Eukaryota; Viridiplantae; Streptophyta; Magnoliopsida; Solanales; Solanaceae.